GCAUUGGUGGAUCAAUGGUAGAAUUCUUGCCUUCCAUCCAGGAAACCCAGGUUCAAUUCCCAGUCAAUGCA
RNAcentral lists this transfer RNA (71 nucleotides) under Loxodonta africana (African savanna elephant). It matches the Rfam family "tRNA". Rfam says of the family: Transfer RNA (tRNA) molecules are approximately 80 nucleotides in length. Lineage: Eukaryota; Metazoa; Chordata; Mammalia; Proboscidea; Elephantidae. The record is from Rfam by way of RNAcentral.